GUUAUCUUUCUCAUUGCCGAAUAUACAAAAGGAAAAGAAGAAAAAAAUAGCAAGCUAGGUUCGGCACUUAUUUUGCUUGAUUAAGAUCGAGAACCAAAGAAAUCGGAGUUAGAUCGAGGAAAAGCCAAAUUAAUCGAAUAAUCGUCCGACUUCGAUUUUCCAUCUUUCGAGAUUUUAGAGACGCGUUACGAGCUCAGGGAUCAUCAGCAUAGUCUAUCACACUAUCGACUACUUUUGGUAUUUUGUUAAAUAUUUGAACUCAAUCUUAUGGCAUGUAUAGGUUUGAGUACGAUGUUGAUUAUAUUUUGAUUGUAAAUUAUAAAUAGCUAUGCAAAAGUAAUUUAAUUUUCA
Molecule: long non-coding RNA, 351 nt
Organism: Gossypium raimondii (Peruvian cotton)
Lineage: Eukaryota; Viridiplantae; Streptophyta; Magnoliopsida; Malvales; Malvaceae
Exons: 3
Source: RefSeq, a predicted model, not a curated record